Molecule: non-coding RNA, 30 nt
Filed under: Rattus norvegicus (Norway rat)
Lineage: Eukaryota; Metazoa; Chordata; Mammalia; Rodentia; Muridae
Source: RNAcentral
UGGGACUCAGGCUAAGAGUGUUCUGUGUUC